This 776-nucleotide ribosomal RNA is filed under the name uncultured Neocallimastigales. RNAcentral describes it as "partial large subunit ribosomal RNA". It matches the Rfam family "Eukaryotic large subunit ribosomal RNA", at positions 24 to 627 of the family's 3401-position model. Lineage: Eukaryota; Fungi; Neocallimastigomycota; Neocallimastigomycetes; Neocallimastigales. The record is from RNAcentral.
UAUCUCUGUAGAGUCUGCAUAUCAAUAAGCGGAGGAAAAGAAACUAACAUAGGAUUCCCUCAGUAACGGCGAGUGAAGCGGGAAGAGCUCAAAUUUGAAAUCUUCAAGGUUCUACCUUGAGGAAUUGUAGUUUAAAGAAGUGUUUUCUGUUGGAGUUUUGGUAAAAGUUCUUUGGAAUAGGACAUCAUAGGAGGGUGAGAAUCCCGUAUUUGACCAUUAUUUCCAGCUUUGUGAUACACUUUCAAAGAGUCGGAUUGUUUGGGAAUGCAGUCCAAAAUGGGUGGUAAAUUUCAUCUAAAGCUAAAUACUGGCGAGAGACCGAUAGCGAACAAGUACCGUGAGGGAAAGAUGAAAAGAACUUUGAAAAGAGAGUUAAACAGUACGUGAAAUUGUCAAAAGGGAAGCGUUUGACACCAGUGUUGUUUUCUCGAAAAUCAAUUAAAAAAGGCAGGAUUUUGUGUUGUAUUGACUUUAUCAGCUUUCUGCACUCUUUUCUUGUCUUUUUUAAUGCACUUUUCGUUUAACAAGUCAACAUCAAUUUCUUUUGUUGUAAAAGGGUCAUUGGAAGGUGGCUUUCUUUUCGGAGAAAGUGUUUAUAGCCUUUGGCCUCUGCAAUCGGAGAGAUUGAGGUCUGCAGCGUAGAUCCUUCGGGGUUAGAUACAUUUGUGCUAAGUUAUAGCCUUUCAUAGACAACUUGUUGACUAUGAUCAGUCAUGUAGCUUACUCGCUUAUGCUAUUUUACCUACGCUUAGGAUGUUGACGAUCAGCUGAGCGCG